CUGGCUCAGGAUGAACGCUAGCUACAGGCUUAACACAUGCAAGUCGAGGGGCAGCAUCAUCAAAGCUUGCUUUGAUGGAUGGCGACCGGCGCACGGGUGAGUAACACGUAUCCAACCUGCCGACAACACUGGGAUAGCCUUUCGAAAGAAAGAUUAAUACCGGAUGGCAUAGUUUUCCCGCAUGGGAUAAUUAUUAAAGAAUUUCGGUUGUCGAUGGGGAUGCGUUCCAUUAGGCAGUUGGCGGGGUAACGGCCCACCAAACCAACGAUGGAUAGGGGUUCUGAGAGGAAGGUCCCCCACAUUGGAACUGAGACACGGUCCAAACUCCUACGGGAGGCAGCAGUGAGGAAUAUUGGUCAAUGGACGAGAGUCUGAACCAGCCAAGUAGCGUGAAGGAUGACUGCCCUAUGGGUUGUAAACUUCUUUUAUACGGGAAUAAAGUUAGCCACGUGUGGCUUUUUGUAUGUACCGUGUGAAUAAGGAUCGGCUAACUCCGUGCCAGCAGCCGCGGUAAUACGGAGGAUCCGAGCGUUAUCCGGAUUUAUUGGGUUUAAAGGGAGCGUAGGCGGGUUGUUAAGUCAGUUGUGAAAGUUUGCGGCUCAACCGUAAAAUUGCAGUUGAUACUGGCGACCUUGAGUGCAACAGAGGUAGGCGGAAUUCGUGGUGUAGCGGUGAAAUGCUUAGAUAUCACGAAGAACUCCGAUUGCGAAGGCAGCUUACUGGAUUGUAACUGACGCUGAUGCUCGAAAGUGUGGGUAUCAAACAGGAUUAGAUACCCUGGUAGUCCACACAGUAAACGAUGAAUACUCGCUGUUGGCGAUAUACAGUCAGCGGCCAAGCGAAAGCAUUAAGUAUUCCACCUGGGGAGUACGCCGGCAACGGUGAAACUCAAAGGAAUUGACGGGGGCCCGCACAAGCGGAGGAACAUGUGGUUUAAUUCGAUGAUACGCGAGGAACCUUACCCGGGCUUAAAUUGCAACUGACGGAACCGGAAACGGUUCUUUCUUCGGACAGUUGUGAAGGUGCUGCAUGGUUGUCGUCAGCUCGUGCCGUGAGGUGUCGGCUUAAGUGCCAUAACGAGCGCAACCCUUAUCGAUAGUUACUAGCAGGUCAUGCUGAGGACUCUAUUGAGACUGCCGUCGUAAGAUGUGAGGAAGGUGGGGAUGACGUCAAAUCAGCACGGCCCUUACGUCCGGGGCUACACACGUGUUACAAUGGGGGGUACAGAAGGCAGCUACACGGCGACGUGGUGCUAAUCCCGAAAGCCUCUCUCAGUUCGGAUUGGAGUCUGCAACCCGACUCCAUGAAGCUGGAUUCGCUAGUAAUCGCAGGUCAGCAUACUGCGGUGAAUACGUUCCCGGGCCUUGUACUCACCGCCCGUCA
This 1383-nucleotide ribosomal RNA is filed under the name uncultured bacterium. RNAcentral's name for it is "16S ribosomal RNA". It matches the Rfam family "Bacterial small subunit ribosomal RNA". The record is from RNAcentral.